Molecule: ribosomal RNA, 497 nt
Filed under: uncultured bacterium
Lineage: Bacteria
Description: partial 16S ribosomal RNA
Rfam family: Bacterial small subunit ribosomal RNA
Source: RNAcentral
GACGAACGCUGGCGGCGUGCCUAAUACAUGCAAGUUGAGCGCUGAAGGUUGGUACUUGUACCAACUGGAUGAGCAGCGAACGGGUGAGUAACGCGUGGGGAAUCUGCCUUUGAGCGGGGGACAACAUUUGGAAACGAAUGCUAAUACCGCAUAAAAACUUUAAACACAAGUUUUAAGUUUGAAAGAUGCAAUUGCAUCACUCAAAGAUGAUCCCGCGUUGUAUUAGCUAGUUGGUGAGGUAAAGGCUCACCAAGGCGAUGAUACAUAGCCGACCUGAGAGGGUGAUCGGCCACAUUGGGACUGAGACACGGCCCAAACUCCUACGGGAGGCAGCAGUAGGGAAUCUUCGGCAAUGGACGAAAGUCUGACCGAGCAACGCCGAGUGAGUGAAGAAGGUUUUCGGAUCGUAAAACUCGGUUGGUAGAGAAGAACGUUGGUGAGAGUGGAAAGCUCAUCAAGUGACGGUAACUACCCAGAAAGGGACGGCUAACUACGUG